UUGAAAAUAGGGCUUCGGCUCUAUUUUUUUGUUUGUUGUUCGAGAAUUUUCUGUUGUUGCUCAAUGAUCUUCUCAAGGUGCUUCUCUUUGUUUUCAGC
RNAcentral lists this transfer RNA (98 nucleotides) under Vibrio sp. MED222. Its description in RNAcentral is "tRNA-Asn". Lineage: Bacteria; Pseudomonadati; Pseudomonadota; Gammaproteobacteria; Vibrionales; Vibrionaceae. The record is from RNAcentral.